RNAcentral lists this ribosomal RNA (209 nucleotides) under uncultured bacterium. Its description in RNAcentral is "partial 16S ribosomal RNA". It matches the Rfam family "Bacterial small subunit ribosomal RNA", at positions 301 to 526 of the family's 1533-position model. The record is from RNAcentral.
CGCCUCCCUCCGCCGCCACUCAGACUCCGUACGGGACGGCGAGCGAGGUGGGUAAGUUUUGGUCGUCAAGUACGGGGGAAACCGUGACGCAGCAACGCCGCGUGGAGGAGUGAAGCCCUUGGGUCGUAACGUCCUUUCGACCAAGACGAUAAUGACGGUACUGGUGGAAGAAGCACCGGCUAACUCUGUGCCAGCAGCCGCGGUAAUAC